Nelumbo nucifera (sacred lotus) is the source of this 2066-nucleotide long non-coding RNA. RefSeq lists it as uncharacterized. NCBI's taxonomy places the organism in Eukaryota, Viridiplantae, Streptophyta, Magnoliopsida, Proteales, Nelumbonaceae. The record is from RefSeq and is a predicted model, not a curated record.
UCCCGCGCACAAGAAACCCUUUUCCCUCUCUAUUCAGCUUCUCUCAUUUGCAUCGAAAACAUCCUUUUCAUCUCCUCCCUCUUCUCUCAUCUGCCUCUCUUCUGCCCCUCCCUCUUCUCAUCUCCUCCGUCUCCUGUCUCUGUUGCCCCCUCCCUCUUUUUCGAGAUGCUUCUUCUCACUCUUUUCAAAUUCUGAGAAAAAAAUUGCAGAGAUUGAAACGUCGACAAAAGAAAGGUUGCUUCCUGAACUCUACUAUAUCUUUAUGUUCUUCUAACGGAUGGUGCCAUAGCCAUGCUUUCUAAUGGGGAGGCGCAAGGAGCUGACUUGAAACCCAUUCUUUAAGUUGUCGAUAUUAUGUUAGUGAACACCCAGCAGCGAAGCAACAGCGAGCGGUAGAUACUGCUCUCGGAUGCGACGCAUCUGCAACAAGGAAUGCUUUUAACCCAGAUGAAUAGUUUGGUUAAAUCGGGGAAACUGCAGAAAGGCUCGGUAGUUCGGCUUACCCAGUUUGUCUGCAAUGUCAUCCAGGGCCGAAUGUGAGAUCAGAAUCCUUUCUUUUCUCACUAGUGUUUAACUUUAUGAAAGUCCAUUAAGUUAGAUUUUUUCAUCUUUUUAUAUAAUUGUUUUGUUGCUUUGUUUUCCUGCAACUUGCUCCAAUCAUUUCUUGUUGUUAGCAUGCACCCUUGGUUGUUAAAUAAUGGAGAAAAGGGAAGAAAAAAAAAAUCAAAUGCUCAGGCUUGUUUAUACUUCUUUUCAAAGCAGAAAAAUACCUUUGAUUUGGAAUUUCUGAGGACAAGAAUGAAUAAAAGGUUCGGUUCCAUUUUCCAGUGGAUCUCAGUAAAGCUUAGGGUGUUACUAGUUUGGGACUCCACUGAAUUUCCCCUUGUUAGGUACAUGAACAAAUUCAAGAUAUGACGACAUAACUAGAACUUUGGGUGACUCUGGUCUUAUUUCUGACUUCUUGAUUUGAUUGGCUCCAUGUGUGACAUCUUCCUUCUUAGUCUUACCGCAAGGUGGUUAACCAUUACCUAUGACAGGUAUUCAGUGAGGCUUUAUUGCUGCUUGUCGUACUUUGUAAGUCUCAACCUUGUAAUGAGAACCACCAAAUCAACCUGCGAGCUGUGCACUUCACAUUUUCUUUUGGAUUGUGAACCUUCCUAGCUUUUAUGCAUAUCUUUUGAGCCUUGAUUCAAGGUUGGUGUCAUCUAGUUUUUAUUUUCAUUGAGGGUAGAUGUCUGAAAAGGAGAAGAAUUCAGACAUUCUGAAGUCAAUUGGGGACAUCUAAUAAACAUUUCUGUUUAUGUCUUCCAAAAAUAGCCUUAUUGAUGUUAAUAUCUGAGAUGGUUCAAAGAUAUCACGUGAUUGUCUUUGGUAUGAGAAAGAGACACUGUAUUUUAGUUUCUUUGUUGUAUUUUAGUAUUUCUUGGUCUCCAACUGGUUCUUCUUUAUGUGGUCCAAGUGUUUGCUCCCCUGUCUAUAGAAAAACUAAUCUGUGAGAUGAAAUGGACCCUGUAAUGUUUACAGUUCAGAACUAAUCCAAAUACUAAAUUACUAGGUAUAACCAAAACCUAGUACAACUGUACAAGUAGGAAGAAGAAAACUGAUUUAUCAGUAGUUGGAUAGGUUGUACACCUCACUUGCGUUCUCAUUCUCAGGAAUAUGACAUUAACUGGUUUCCAAUUCGAGGGAAGCCUUGACUUACGGUUACCAUUUGUCUCUUUGGCAAUCAUAGGAUGGAAUUCUUUGUUCUCAACUCUUUUUCAUUUUUGUUGGUCUUCUCAUCAUUUUUUCAUUUUCCUUUUCCCUUUUACCCUAAUAUAAGUUUCAAUUAUCCAAAGAAGGCCCCUUCAUUUGAAAUUAGAACUUUAACCAAGAAGAUGAUAGAGUAAUGGAAAGCUGAAGUUUGGUGUUUUCCUUUGUUGCAUGCUGCUGGAUCAAUUUAAGUAGAGAUGCAUUCAAGGAAUCAAUGUUAGCCAAAAAGUGACUGUAAGGAUGUUCUUUGAACAUAUUGGAGAAAGGUAGUUCUAAUGGUGAGUAAAUUACAUAAUUUUUGAAGUUGUUUCACA